Long non-coding RNA from Hemibagrus wyckioides, 789 nucleotides. RefSeq lists it as uncharacterized. NCBI's taxonomy places the organism in Eukaryota, Metazoa, Chordata, Actinopteri, Siluriformes, Bagridae. The record is from RefSeq and is a predicted model, not a curated record. The transcript is spliced from 3 exons.
UUAAAAUGAAGGGUGGGGAUGCAGGCAUAAAAAUUCGAAGUGUGCUAGAUUCACUCAGCCAGCAAGUUGAAGAUCAGCGAGAUGCUGUGAUUCUCUGCCUGCUUUCCUACCUGGGAGAAUCAUCUGAGGAGCUCAUUGAAUCCUACCAGGAUGUCAGCAGAGACAUGAUUAAAGAUCUUUAAAGAAGAUUAAAGCUUCACCAAUCAUGUAAUGAAGAUCAUUGUACUGGGCAGCACUGCAGGAGAGAAAGAUGCCAACAUAGCUGACGUCAUCAUCGUCAUUGAGGGAACUGAGGUGCUGUUGGGAUGUAAGAAUCUCACAAAUGCGAUCCUUCUGCUCAUGGGCUUCAUUUACUCCCUGAACUUAAGCUAUCCCCCAAAGCUGAGAAACACUUCUGAAGUCUUUCAGAAAACCUUUCUUGGGCUGGAUGCUUUAAAAUUUUCUCCAAAAGUUAGCUCUUUGCAUAGAAAGCUACAAAAGUAGUUACUUUUUGUAUUUGUUCAUUUGCUUAGCAAGUGAGAAUGUUCUUAAAAAGCUUGUUAAUGUAACUUAGAGCAAAGUUUGUACUAUACUGUGCUGUUUAACAGAAACAUUGUAAUGCAGUGUUAUGUAAGUAAUGCAGUGCUGCUAAAGAAAACAGAACCAGAGGUUUAUUUGUUUUAUCACAGUGUUGUAUGUGCUCUGUUUUUAUACAAAAAUACAAUGAAGCAUCUGUGAAAGGAUAAAGAUGUUGAACCAUUUUGGCCAAGAGCAUUUAAUCUCAAUUCAUGUUUGUCCAUGUGUUUUAGC